AAAUAGUAUGGUAGAAAUAUCCCCACCCUAAUGCUUGAUGGAUUUUUCCUAUUUCAUAUAUUAUUUAAAAUACGUGCAAGGAUGACAUUGGGCAGAUGAAUCUAUUUUGCAUACUGUUCCAAUUUAUUUUUUGUAGAUUUUAAACCAAAACAAACAAAUUUAUUUCCUUUUUGGGCCCUUAUUGGACAAUCUUGACAGCUUUUCAUCUAUUGUGGAAAAUGAUGUUAUUCCUAAUUCGGCAUUCUAAAAUCUAAAAUUGAUGGAGCAUUUUUGGCAGCCCUUAAAUUCCCUUUCCUUAAAUAUCAUACAAAAUCAAAGUAAAUGAUCUCCUUCUCAAUUUGAAAGUUGCGGGAUAAUGUAACCAAAACAACUUUUGGAUAUUUUUCCAUUUACAAUUAGGAAGAAAUUAAUAUUUGCAAAAAUAAUGGGUUUCUUAAUUAUGUAUAUAUAUGCUCAAAGCUUGACAUGUUCUUCACUUCACAUACUAUCAAAUAAUCCCAGCAAAAAAAUUACUUUCAAUUUGCUUCAAGAAAGAUGAUGCUGACGAAGAAUAUCAUUUCUAUCAAAAUGAUUUUGAUUGUCACCCUCAUGGUCACCGCAUAUUGUUAGUUGUUAUAUCCCUCUCUCAAGCUUGCGCAGGCACGCGCGCGCACACAAUUUAUUUUUCUAUCUAUACAUCUAUAUUGCCGUAUAUCUAUCAAGUAAUUAACAAAUGGUAUUGAUGCUAACUAACAGGGCAUUUAAUGGAAGUUGAAGCCAGGAACGUGGUCUUGAAGACUCAAUCUUCCACCGGUGUUGGCAGCAGUGGCACAAUCGGAGAAACAUUUUAUCAGCAGGAACCGAAACGUUGUAGCAAUGACAAUGAUUGCCUUUACCUCCACUGCAUUGAUAAACAAACAAAAUGCUAUCAGGGUCAUUGUGCUUGCACUGAUUAAAUAAGAGUAAAUGCCAAAUUAUCAAUAAACGGGGAAUUAAAAUUUCUCAACAAUAUUUUGAUUUUGUCUUAAUCUAUAAAUCAUCUUUUUGUUUGUUUGUUAUUAUUAUUAUUAUUAUUAUUA
This 1058-nucleotide long non-coding RNA is filed under the name Citrus x clementina. Its description in RNAcentral is "Citrus clementina (C. clementina) long non-coding RNA (CCLE_LNC005253)". The record is from RNAcentral. Lineage: Eukaryota; Viridiplantae; Streptophyta; Magnoliopsida; Sapindales; Rutaceae.